Molecule: ribosomal RNA, 623 nt
Filed under: Akashiwo sp. CMP2796
Lineage: Eukaryota; Dinophyceae; Gymnodiniales; Gymnodiniaceae
Description: eukaryotic LSU rRNA
Rfam family: Eukaryotic large subunit ribosomal RNA
Source: RNAcentral
GCAUAUAAGUAAGCGGAGGAAAAGAAACUAAAUAGGAUUCUCUUAGUAAUGGCGAAUGAACUGGGAUGAGCUCACCAUGGGAAUCGGGGUCCUCGACCUUGAAUUGUAGUCUUGAGACGCACUGCCAACAAAGGCGCAGGUGUAAGCCUCUUGGAAGAGAGCAUCGCAGAGGGUGAGAGUCCCGUCUGUCACCUGCAGCCCCUUGUGUACGGCAUGUGUUCUGAGAGUCACGUUCCUCGGGAUUGGAGCGCAAAUUGGGUGGUAAGUUUCACCUCAAGCUAAAUAUUGGUCCGAGACCGAUAGCAAACAAGUACCAUGAGGGAAAGGUGAAAAGGACUUUGAAAAGAGAGUUAAAAGUGCUUGAAAUUGCUGAAAGGGAAGCGAAUGGAACCAGUUCUGCUGGGCGAGAUUGUCGCAUGCCAAGGCCUCGUGCCGGCCGCAUGCGGUGCUUCUUGCCUUGUGUGUCAGCUGCGGUCCGAAGUCGGGGAAAACUCUGGGGACAUGGAUGCCAACCUCCGGGGGGGUGAAUGUGCCUGGCAAGACCCGUCCUCGGACCGUGAGCAGUGCUUCGGCAUGUUUGCGGUGCUGACGAAAUGCUUCUAUUCGACCCGUCUUGAAACACG